AACGCACAUUGCGCCCCUUGGUACUCCAUGGGGCAUGCCUGUUCGAGCGUCAUUUACACCCUCAAGCAAUGCUUGGUGUUGGGCGUCUGUCCCGCUGCUACGCGCGGACUCGCCCCAAAAUCAUUGGCGGCUUCACGGUCGGCUCCCAGCGCAGCAGAAUCAGCGCUCUGGCGGGUUCGACCGCGCGGCAUCCAUCAAGACAUUUUACAUUUUGUUUGACCUCGGAUCAGGUAGGGAUACCCGCUGAACUUAA
This 253-nucleotide unclassified non-coding RNA is filed under the name uncultured fungus. RNAcentral describes it as "partial contains 5.8S ribosomal RNA, internal transcribed spacer 2, and large subunit ribosomal RNA". Lineage: Eukaryota; Fungi. The record is from RNAcentral.